RNAcentral lists this long non-coding RNA (498 nucleotides) under Salmo salar (Atlantic salmon). Its description in RNAcentral is "lncRNA (ENSSSAG00000095773.1)". Lineage: Eukaryota; Metazoa; Chordata; Actinopteri; Salmoniformes; Salmonidae. The record is from RNAcentral.
CGCCGCUGUUUGGAUAUAACAAUGGAUUAUUUGGGACCAAACCAACAUUUGUUAUUGAAGUGGAAGUCCUGGGAGUGCAUUCUGACGAAGAACAGCAAAGGUCAUGGACAGGACACACCAGACAGGACCCACCGGACCUAAAGCCAUCAUUUUGGGUGGUGCGCACCCCAGGCUGGCAAACUUGGAUAAGCUGUUCUUUGUCUUUGAUGUGAUGUUCCUCAAGAUGACAUUCUGGUGAAAUCAAUCCUAAUUUAUUCUGACCAACCACCUGCCUGGCUCAGAACCAGUCCUGCCUGGCCCAGUCCACUGCUUCUUGCCCCUCACUGUGCUGGGUAACACAGGGUCACAAACUAUAACGGGCUGGAAAAGUAAAUGAAAGAAGUUGUCAUUGAGUUUCAAGAUAGCAGGUAACUGGCUAUGCAGCCUCAAAGACAAGAAUAGGCACACAAAAAGGGCAAGGACAGAUUUUCUGACCAGUAAGCCUUCCUACCAUUGGGG